AAGGAGGGGAGCCUAGGCCCGGCGUGGGGAGGCCGGCAGGAAGGGCCUCGAGCCCAGUGCGGACCUUUCUUCAGCCUCUGUGCGACCGAGCCGCGCGCCAGGCUCCUGUGCGAGGAGGACGCGCUGACUCCCUCCGACCUGGGCUCCGAUGGAGCAGAAAUAGCGGGACCUGGACUUGUGGCGCGCCUGGUGCCACAUCUCGGGCUCUGCGAGCGUCCUGGCGCGGGAUCCUGCCUGUUCCCUUCUUUUCGCCAGGUUUGCAUCCAAGAGAGGGGAGGACAGGGGCAAAAGGAUGCAGGGAGGCUGCUGAUUUCCACUGAAGAGCUAAUUUCCUGUGAGACAUUAACAGUGAUUUAAGAAAAAGAUUCCUGUAACUGUAAUGUCUUACAAUAACAGAAUGCAGGAGAGCACAUAUCAAUGAAGAAAAGACAAAAUGUACUUAUCCAUGAAGCUGAGGUUAAGAAACCAGUGUCUUCAAGAGCCAGGGACAGCACUGGGUCUGUGCAGAGUUGAGAGAUGGUGAUGACAUGUGGUUUCCAGCAUUCCUCACCCAGUCCAGGGACACUGUGGGUGUGCCCAGCUUAAGUCCAGUAACUGGAAAUACAAGCCCAAGUUCUGGAGAGUUUGAGCUGCAGAGAUAUAUAUGGGAACACUUUGAAUCUUGACUCAUUGGCCAUAACCAGCAGAGUGGAAAAUACAAGAAGAGA
This 707-nucleotide long non-coding RNA is filed under the name Homo sapiens (human). RNAcentral's name for it is "non-protein coding MAGI2-AS3:23". Lineage: Eukaryota; Metazoa; Chordata; Mammalia; Primates; Hominidae. The record is from RNAcentral.